GCCCCCGUAGCUCAAUGGAUAGAGUACCGGCCUCCGAAGCCGUGGAUGCCAGUUCGAUUCUGGCCGGGGGCA
This 72-nucleotide transfer RNA is filed under the name Elusimicrobia bacterium RIFCSPLOWO2_01_FULL_59_12. RNAcentral describes it as "tRNA-Arg". It matches the Rfam family "tRNA". Rfam says of the family: Transfer RNA (tRNA) molecules are approximately 80 nucleotides in length. The record is from RNAcentral. Lineage: Bacteria; Pseudomonadati; Elusimicrobiota.